GACGAACGCUGGCGGCGUGCUUAACACAUGCAAGUCGAACGAAGAGCGAUGGAAGCUUGCUUCUAUCAAUCUUAGUGGCGAACGGGUGAGUAACGCGUAAUCAACCUGCCCUUCAGAGGGGGACAACAGUUGGAAACGACUGCUAAUACCGCAUACGAUCUAAUCUCGGCAUCGAGGAAAGAUGAAAGGUGGCCUCUAUUUAUAAGCUAUCACUGAAGGAGGGGAUUGCGUCUGAUUAGCUAGUUGGAGGGGUAACGGCCCACCAAGGCGAUGAUCAGUAGCCGGUCUGAGAGGAUGAACGGCCACAUUGGGACUGAGACACGGCCCAGACUCCUACGGGAGGCAGCAGUGGGGAAUCUUCCGCAAUGGACGAAAGUCUGACGGAGCAACGCCGCGUGAGUGAUGACGGCCUUCGGGUUGUAAAGCUCUGUUAAUCGGGACGAAAGGCCUUCUUGCGAAUAGU
Molecule: ribosomal RNA, 463 nt
Filed under: Veillonella dispar
Lineage: Bacteria; Bacillati; Bacillota; Negativicutes; Veillonellales; Veillonellaceae
Description: bacterial SSU rRNA
Rfam family: Bacterial small subunit ribosomal RNA
Source: RNAcentral